UACGUAGGGUCCGAGCGUUGUCCGGAAUUAUUGGGCGUAAAGGGCUCGUAGGCGGUUCGUCACGUCGGGAGUGAAAACUCGGAGCUUAACUCCGAGCCUGCUUCCGAUACGGGCAGACUAGAGGUAGGCAGGGGAGAGCGGAACUCCUGGUGUAGCGGUGGAAUGCGCAGAUAUCAGGAGGAACACCAGCGGCGAAGGCGGCGCUCUGGGCCGGUACUGACACUGAGGAGCGAAAGCGUGGGUAGCAAACAGG
RNAcentral lists this ribosomal RNA (253 nucleotides) under uncultured bacterium. RNAcentral describes it as "partial 16S ribosomal RNA". It matches the Rfam family "Bacterial small subunit ribosomal RNA", at positions 524 to 776 of the family's 1533-position model. The record is from RNAcentral.